UGGGGAAUCUUGCGCAAUGGCCGCAAGGCUGACGCAGCGACGCCGCGUGUGGGAUGACGGCCUUCGGGUUGUAAACCACUGUCAGGGGGAACGAAUACACGCUUCGGGCGUGGGUGACGGUACCUCCAAAGGAAGCACCGGCUAACUCCGUGCCAGCAGCCGCGGUAAUACGGAGGGUGCGAGCGUUGUCCGGAAUCACUGGGCGUAAAGGGCGCGUAGGUGGCCCGUUAAGUGGCUGGUGAAAUCCCGCGGCUCAACUGCGGGGCUGCCGGUCAUACUGGCGAGCUAGAGCACGGUAGGGGCAGAUGGAAUUCCCGGUGUAGCGGUGGAAUGCGUAGAGAUCGGGAAGAAUACCAGUGGCGAAGGCGUUCUGCUGGGCCGUUGCUGACACUGAGGCGCGACAGCGUGGGGAGCAAACAGGAUUAGAUACCCGCGUAGUCC
Molecule: ribosomal RNA, 441 nt
Filed under: uncultured bacterium
Lineage: Bacteria
Description: bacterial SSU rRNA
Rfam family: Bacterial small subunit ribosomal RNA
Source: RNAcentral